AACGCGAAGAACCUUACCUGGGCUUGACAUCCUCGGAAUCCUCCAGAAAUGGGGGAGUGCCUUCGGGAGCCGAGAGACAGGUGGUGCACGGUUGUCGUCAGCUCGUGUCGUGAGAUGUUGGGUUAAGUCCCGCAACGAGCGCAACCCUCGUUGUCUGUUGCUACAGGCUGCAAAGUGCUGAGCACUCAGGCGAGACUGCCGGUGACAAACCGGAGGAAGGUGGGGAUGACGUCAAAUCAUCAUGCCCCUUAUGUCCAGGGCUACACACGUGUUACAAUGGGAUAGGACAACGGGCAGCAAGCUAGCAAUAGCAAGCUAAUCCCUUAAACCUACCCUCAGUUCGGAUUGGAGUCUGCAACUCGACUCCAUGAAGUCGGAAUCGCUAGUAAACGCGGAUCAGCCAUGCCGCGUUGAAUACGUUCCCGGGCCUUGUACACACCGUACGUC
Molecule: ribosomal RNA, 447 nt
Filed under: uncultured bacterium
Lineage: Bacteria
Description: bacterial SSU rRNA
Rfam family: Bacterial small subunit ribosomal RNA
Source: RNAcentral